Molecule: ribosomal RNA, 479 nt
Filed under: Escherichia coli
Lineage: Bacteria; Pseudomonadati; Pseudomonadota; Gammaproteobacteria; Enterobacterales; Enterobacteriaceae
Description: bacterial SSU rRNA
Rfam family: Bacterial small subunit ribosomal RNA
Source: RNAcentral
UCAGAUGAACGCUGGCGGCAGGCCUAACACAUGCAAGUCGAACGGUAACAGGAAACAGCUUGCUGUUUCGCUGACGAGUGGCGGACGGGUGAGUAAUGUCUGGGAAACUGCCUGAUGGAGGGGGAUAACUACUGGAAACGGUAGCUAAUACCGCAUAACGUCGCAAGACCAAAGAGGGGGACCUUCGGGCCUCUUGCCAUCGGAUGUGCCCAGAUGGGAUUAGCUUGUUGGUGGGGUAACGGCUCACCAAGGCGACGAUCCCUAGCUGGUCUGAGAGGAUGACCAGCCACACUGGAACUGAGACACGGUCCAGACUCCUACGGGAGGCAGCAGUGGGGAAUAUUGCACAAUGGGCGCAAGCCUGAUGCAGCCAUGCCGCGUGUAUGAAGAAGGCCUUCGGGUUGUAAAGUACUUUCAGCGGGGAGGAAGGGAGUAAAGUUAAUACCUUUGCUCAUUGACGUACCCGCAGAAGAAGCACC